UCUGCAGAUGCUCCCAUGGGUUUGCCCGUUGUGGCAAAGUCUUCUCACUCAGACAAGAGAAAGUCCUCACAAGUGGUGGAGCCACAGGUUGUAGAUUUGGCUGGGGAUAUGCCACCUCCCAAGAUUGCCGAUGAGGUAAUCUUUGCUUCACUUUUACUUCCACUUUGUACAUUGUAGUGAAAACCUUCAAUGUUGGCAACUUUCUUUGCAGGAUGCUGAUAGGAUUGUGCGUUCCAUCCAGGACUUGUUCACUUCUUGGGGGCAAGUUAAGACGUCUCGCCCUGUUUCAACCAGUCGUCCUUCUGCUUCUUCAGAGGAAGAUAUGAAGUUCCUCAAACAUUCGAUAUUUGAGUAUGUGUCCUUUAUGGAUAUGGACAUCGGUCAGGCUAGCGUUGCCAAACAUAAGGAUAAGCUUGAGCAUUUGAGUGCGAAGUUGGCAUAAGCACUGACACUUCUGUCGCUCAAUCUUUCUGCUGAUUUUAAAGCGACGUUGAAAGUUGUCCAUUCUGAGAUUCUCUCCUUGCUGGCCAAAAAUGUUGAACUGAAGGUCAAAAGUACUCAAUAUCUUCGCGCUGCAUCUGAAAGAGAGUCUUUGCUUCUGGAGAUCAACAAAGCCGAGGACGAACUGAAAGAAAUCUCUUCUGAAGUCAUGAUUGAAGACUCUUUGAUGACCAGUUUGGCUGCACAGAUGAAGGAACUUCAAGCAAGGAUGGACGAUUGCAAUGCGAGAAUGGCUGCUAAAAAAUGCAAUGCCUCCCAAGGAAUUGAGAGAACCAAGUCCAUGGUCGAGCAGUACAAGAAACUGGAGGUUGAUGAUGAUUUUGUGGCUGAAUUGAAUGUCACUACCUCUCAGCAGAGCGAGGAUUGGGGGAGACUUAGGGAAAGAAUUCGUUCAGUCUAGGGCGAAUUGUAAUUAAGACAUUUAAUGCCUUAAAUUUUCUUUUUGUAACUUCGUAUUAACCCUUUGUAACCUCGUACUGAUAUCCAUUGGUAAUUCUGAACAUAUUAGCAGCCAUUA
RNAcentral lists this long non-coding RNA (1018 nucleotides) under Olea europaea subsp. europaea. The record is from RNAcentral. Lineage: Eukaryota; Viridiplantae; Streptophyta; Magnoliopsida; Lamiales; Oleaceae.